Molecule: long non-coding RNA, 292 nt
Filed under: Macaca mulatta (Rhesus monkey)
Lineage: Eukaryota; Metazoa; Chordata; Mammalia; Primates; Cercopithecidae
Description: lncRNA (ENSMMUG00000050636.1)
Source: RNAcentral
GUAUCUCUUCACCACUAAAAUUCCCUGAAAGAGUGUCUUUUUUCUUCUCUUUCUCUAUCUUAUUUCCUUUUUCCAUCCUUAGAGCUGGCUUUUUACACUGCAUAGUCUCUUCACUAUCCAGGAUUCCCUGACCUUCCUGACCUUGGUCAAUAUGUGCAGGGGGAAUUAUGGCACCUCUUUAUAUGGAUUUCACUGAGAUUCCAAGAUGAUCAACUUGGAAAAUGGAUUUCAAGUGCCUUGAAAUAUAUAAAACAUGAGGACAGCAGUCAAAUAUUAUCAAUGAAAUGAUAAG